GAUCUCCACCAGUCUACCGAGUGCCUU
RNAcentral lists this non-coding RNA (27 nucleotides) under Rattus norvegicus (Norway rat). The record is from RNAcentral. Lineage: Eukaryota; Metazoa; Chordata; Mammalia; Rodentia; Muridae.